Limulus polyphemus (Atlantic horseshoe crab) is the source of this 782-nucleotide long non-coding RNA. RefSeq lists it as uncharacterized. Lineage: Eukaryota; Metazoa; Arthropoda; Merostomata; Xiphosura; Limulidae. The transcript is spliced from 3 exons. The record is from RefSeq and is a predicted model, not a curated record.
UAUCACAAACAAGUGUGUUUGAAUAAAUGCUGAAACGUUUCCAUUUAAACAAGGAUAUGUUCUUUUCAUAUGUAUGUGUGUGUGCGCGCUUUGAUUUUUCAACUUUUACAAUUAAAGAAAGGUGUUUUUUCUUUUUUUUUCUCUCUCUCCCAGAUAUAAGUCUGAAUUAUAUCAAGUGGCUUUUACUUUUUUAACUUCAUGCUGUGCUCGGUACAAUGUUUUAACACUGGCACAUUAAGAAGUUUCUGUUUAUCUGUCCAACCGAUGUUAUGUUUUCAAUAUUCGAUAACUUUGUUCGACCGAAUUAGCGGAAGCAAAUUGUACUGGACUGUCCUCUCAAUCGGAUAACCGAAUGGCUAAUAAGGACUAAUGCGUCUAUUUCGAGUUUGUUCUGGUUAACCAUUCCUUCGAAAGUGGAGUUUCCACGUGCGAAGUAAAGGUAGUACAUGUGUUCAAGAUCUUGGGUAAUAGAAACUUCGAAGCUGUAACUGGUGUCAGUUCAAGUUCAAGUUCAGACUAGUCAGAGCAGCCCAGCCCAUUAUCCAAUUCAGAUCAGUCACAACAGCUUAGCCCAAGACCCAGUUCAGACUAAUCAGGGCAACUUAGCCGAAGAACCAGUUCAUGUUAGUCAGAGCAGCCCAGUAAGUGUUUUUUGCUACCGUUUAUGGGUGAAAUGUGUUGUGAUUAUAUCCAUUCCAAGUUUGUGUCUUUCUCGUAAGUAAAUUGUACACUGUCUAAUUUUUUGUAACUUCACGUCUGUUAGACAGUAAAAAGAGAUAAAU